GAUGAAGAACGCAGCGAAAUGCGAUAAGUAAUGUGAAUUGCAGAAUUCAGUGAAUCAUCGAAUCUUUGAACGCACAUUGCGCCCGUCAGUAUUCUGGCGGGCAUGCCUGUUCGAGCGUCAUUACGCCCCUCAAGUCCCCUGUGGACUUGGUGUUGGGGAUCGGCGAGGCUGGUUUUCCAGCACAGCCGUCCCUUAAAUUAAUUGGCGGUCUCGCCGUGGCCCUCCUCUGCGCAGUAGUAAAACACUCGCAGCAGGAGCCCGGCGCGGUCCACUGCCGUAAAACCCCCCAACUUUUUAUAGUUGACCUCGAAUCAGGUAGGACUACCCGCUGAACUUAAGCAUAUCAAUAAGCGGAGGA
RNAcentral lists this unclassified non-coding RNA (358 nucleotides) under soil metagenome. RNAcentral describes it as "partial contains 5.8S ribosomal RNA, internal transcribed spacer 2, and large subunit ribosomal RNA". The stretch from base 1 to 120 matches the Rfam family "5.8S ribosomal RNA", at positions 35 to 154 of the family's 154-position model. The record is from RNAcentral.